This 496-nucleotide ribosomal RNA is filed under the name uncultured bacterium. RNAcentral describes it as "partial 16S ribosomal RNA". It matches the Rfam family "Bacterial small subunit ribosomal RNA", at positions 28 to 506 of the family's 1533-position model. The record is from RNAcentral.
GAUGAACGCUGGCGGCGUGCCUAAUACAUGCAAGUCGAGCGAACGGACGAGAAGCUUGCUUCUCUGAUGUUAGCGGCUGACGGGUGGGUAACACGUGGAUAACCUACCUAUAAUACUGGGAUAACUUCGGGAAACCGGUGCUAAUACCGCAUAAUAUUUUCAACCGCAUGGUUCAAAAGUGAAAGACGGUCUUGCUGUCUCUUAUAGAUGGAUCCGCGCUGCAUUAGCUAGUUGGUAAGGUAACGGCUUACCAAGGCAACGAUGCAUAGCCGACCUGAGAGGGGGAUCGGCCAACCUGGACCUGAGACACGGUCCAGACUCCUAGGGGAGGCAGAAGGAGGGAAUCUUCAGAAAUGGGCGAAAGCUUGACGGGGCAACGCGGCGUGAGUGAUGAAGGUCUGCGGAUCGUAAAACUCUGUUAUGAGGGAAGAACAUAUGUGUAAGUAACUGUGCACAUCUUGAGGGUACCUAAGCAGAAGGCCAGGGCAAACUACGU